Molecule: ribosomal RNA, 301 nt
Filed under: uncultured bacterium
Lineage: Bacteria
Description: partial 16S ribosomal RNA
Rfam family: Bacterial small subunit ribosomal RNA
Source: RNAcentral
CACAGCCACGGUAAUACGAAGGGUGCAAGCGUUAAUCGGAAUUACUGGGCGUAAAGCGCACGUAGGCGGAUAUUUAAGUCAGGGGUGAAAUCCCGCAGCUCAACUGCGGAACUGUCUUUGAUACUGGGUAUCUUGAGUAUGGAAGAGGUAAGUGGAAUUGCGAGUGUAGAGGUGAAAUUCGUAGAUAUUCGGAAGAACACCAGUGGCGAAGGCGGCUUACUAGCCCAUUACUGACGCUGAGGCUCGAAAGCGUGGGGAGCAAACAGGAUUAGAUACCCCCGUAGUCCCUGUCUCUUAUACA